Non-coding RNA from Anolis sagrei ordinatus, 401 nucleotides. NCBI's taxonomy places the organism in Eukaryota, Metazoa, Chordata, Lepidosauria, Squamata, Anolidae. The record is from the annotation of a RefSeq genome assembly.
GUUACUUUUCUCCCUACUUCCCAACCAUGGCCUGGGCUCCAUUCCUCCUGUUCCUCUCUGUGUCCUACACUGGUGCCAGGGCCCAGUUUGUCCUAACCCAGACACCUUCAAAAGCUGCUGACACUGGAAAAACAGUACAGAUCUCCUGUAUCAGGACAGGUGGAAGCAUCUCAAGCUACUAUGUGUCCUGGUAUCAACAGAAGCCGGGCAAUGCCCCAAAACUUGUGAUAUACAACUUCAGCAACAGGCCUACCGGGAUCCCUGAACGCUUCACUGGUUCCUAUGAUAGUUCUGCCAAUUCUGCCACCUUGAGUAUCUCUAACCUCCAAGCAGAGGAUGAGGCUGACUAUUACUGCUUGUCUUCUGACAGCAAUAGCCAGUGCACUGUGAUACAACCUUAG